RNAcentral lists this ribosomal RNA (253 nucleotides) under uncultured bacterium. Its description in RNAcentral is "partial 16S ribosomal RNA". It matches the Rfam family "Bacterial small subunit ribosomal RNA", at positions 524 to 776 of the family's 1533-position model. The record is from RNAcentral.
UACGAACUGUGCGAACGUUAUUCGGAAUCACUGGGCUUACAGGGUGCGUAGGCGGCUUAGCAAGUCAGGUGUGAAAUCUCGGGGCUUAACUCCGAAACUGCAUUCGAUACUGCCGUGCUUGAGGACUGGAGAGGAGACUGGAAUUUACGGUGUAGCGGUGAAAUGCGUAGAUAUCGGGAGGAACACCUGUGGCGAAAGCGGCUCACUGGACCACAACUGACGCUGAGGCGCGAAAGCAUGGGGAGCGAACAGG